RNAcentral lists this ribosomal RNA (427 nucleotides) under uncultured bacterium. Its description in RNAcentral is "partial 16S ribosomal RNA". It matches the Rfam family "Bacterial small subunit ribosomal RNA", at positions 355 to 774 of the family's 1533-position model. The record is from RNAcentral.
UGGGGAAUAUUGCACAAUGGGCGCAAGCCUGAUGCAGCCAUGCCGCGUGUAUGAAGAAGGCCUUCGGGUUGUAAAGUACUUUCAGCGGGGAGGAAGGCGAUAAGGUUAAUAACGUUGUCGAUUGACGUUACACGCAGAAGAAGCACCGGCUAACUCCGUGCCUGUAGCCGCGGUAAUACGGAGGGUGCAAGCGUUAAUCGGAAUUACUGGGCGUAAAGCGCACGCAGGCGGUCUGUCAAGUCGGAUGUGAAAUCCCCGGGCUCAACCUGGGAACUGCAUUCGAAACUGGCAGGCUAGAGUCUUGUAGAGGGGGGUAGAAUUCCAGGUGUAGCGGUGAAAUGCGUAGAGAUCUGGAGGAAUACCGGUGGCGAAGGCGGCCCCCUGGACAAAGACUGACGCUCAGGUGCGAAAGCGUGGGGAGCAAACA